Molecule: non-coding RNA, 96 nt
Organism: Geotrichum reessii
Lineage: Eukaryota; Fungi; Ascomycota; Dipodascomycetes; Dipodascales; Dipodascaceae
Source: the annotation of a GenBank genome assembly
UCGGCAAUAGUUUAGUGGCUAGAAUUUCCGCCUGUCAAUUUAGCUUAUACUCUGAGCAGCACGCGGGGGACCGGGGUUCAAUUCCCCGUUGCCGAG